This is a long non-coding RNA of Malaclemys terrapin pileata, 486 nucleotides long. RefSeq lists it as uncharacterized. Lineage: Eukaryota; Metazoa; Chordata; Testudines; Emydidae. The transcript has 3 exons. The record is from RefSeq and is a predicted model, not a curated record.
UCAAGAAAACCAUUCUUGAUGCUGUCGGAGAAAAACAGAGUUCUCACUCUAAGGUUGGGUGCAGCAAGAGAUACACUUUAUUCUCUAGCAAUUGCAUGGCAGGAGAGAGUGCACUAGGACACAGGGUUUCCCCCACCUAGUCAGGUCUCUCUACAGAUCUUGUGGUCAUUGGGCAGUUCGAUCAAGGCCAGUUGUCUGCACAGAGCUGGGACGGCACAGAGAGAACACACAUGCAGCCAAACAUCUGAUAACACUCACAAGAUUCUUCACAGCCCAGAUGAAAAGGAUCCAAGGAUUUUAGAAGCAAGGCGUCGUGUGCCAGAUUCUCAGAGGUCCUGGACUGACGAUCUCUGAUGCCAUCACUCACUUUUCAUAAAUCAAAAAGAAAAGAAACACUCAGAUUCUGUGUUUAUAUCCAUUCAAAUAAGGGCAUUGUUACUUUCAAAUCAAAGGCAGAGCAGGAAUUUCCCCCUCACUGGAUUGUGA